GUUCACUUUGUGUAAAUAUGGGAUCUGUAAAAUGAUCAGAUCCUGGGUUAUUAAUAAAUCGUCACCGACCUCACAUCAAUUGAGGUGAUGUGAACAUGUUAAUAGUAUAAUGGUCAACAGCCCUGGGGAUAGAGGAAUACGAGAGUGGAUAAUCAAUAGCCCGCCUACCUGGAAUAUUAACUUUCUAUUUUAACUAUUUUCCCC
Molecule: non-coding RNA, 204 nt
Organism: Pelobates cultripes (western spadefoot toad)
Lineage: Eukaryota; Metazoa; Chordata; Amphibia; Anura; Pelobatidae
Source: the annotation of a GenBank genome assembly